Molecule: ribosomal RNA, 624 nt
Filed under: uncultured delta proteobacterium
Lineage: Bacteria; Deltaproteobacteria
Description: bacterial SSU rRNA
Rfam family: Bacterial small subunit ribosomal RNA
Source: RNAcentral
AGAGUUUGAUCCUGGCUCAGAACGAACGCUGGCGGCGUGCCUAACACAUGCAAGUCGAGCGAGAAAGUUCCUUCGGGAAUGAGUAAAGCGGCGCACGGGUGAGUAACACGUAGGUAACCUACCCUUGAGCCCGGAAUAACCCGUCGAAAGAUGGGCUAAUGCCGGAUGAGACCACGGUGGUCACGGCCACCGCGGUCAAAGAUGGCCUCUGUUCACAAGCUAUCACUCGGGGAUGGGCCUGCGCGCCAUUAGCUAGUUGGUGAGGUAACGGCUCACCAAGGCGAUGAUGGCUAGCUGGUCUGAGAGGAUGACCAGCCACACUGGGACUGACACACGGCCCAGACUCCUACGGGAGGCAGCAGUGGGGGAUAUUGCGCAAUGGGCGAAAGCCUGACGCAGCGACGCCGCGUGGGUGAUGAAGGCCUUCGGGUCGUAAAGCCCUGUCGAGGGGGACGAAUCAGUUUGGUCCUAACACGGCCAGACCCUGACGGUACCCCUAAAGGAAGCACCGGCUAACUCCGUGCCAGCAGCCGCGGUAAUACGGAGGGUGCAAGCGUUGUUCGGAAUCACUGGGCGUAAAGGGCGUGUAGGCGGUCCGCUAAGUCUGAUGUGAAAGCCCGAGGC